GGUCCAGUGGUCCAGCGGUUAGGAUUCUGACAAUUGAGAUCAGAGGCUCGGGUUCAACUCCCGGCUGGACCU
Molecule: non-coding RNA, 72 nt
Organism: Diaporthe sp. PMI_573
Lineage: Eukaryota; Fungi; Ascomycota; Sordariomycetes; Diaporthales; Diaporthaceae
Source: the annotation of a GenBank genome assembly